RNAcentral lists this ribosomal RNA (253 nucleotides) under uncultured bacterium. Its description in RNAcentral is "partial 16S ribosomal RNA". It matches the Rfam family "Bacterial small subunit ribosomal RNA", at positions 524 to 776 of the family's 1533-position model. The record is from RNAcentral.
AACGUAGGAGACAAACGUUAUCCGGAGUUACUGGGCGUAAAGGGCGUGUAGGCGGUUUGUUAAGUUUGGCGUGAAAGCUCUCGGCUAAACCGGGAGAGGUCGUUGGAUACUGGCAAACUAGAGGACGGUAGAGGCGGGUGGAAUUCCGGGUGUAGUGGUGAAAUGCGUAGAGAUCCGGAGGAACACCAGUGGCGAAGGCGACACGCUGGGCCGUACCUGACGCUAAAGCGCGACAGCAUGGGGAGCAAACGGG